AUACGUAGGGAGCGAGCGUUGUCCGGAAUUACUGGGUGUAAAGGGUGCGUAGGCGGGACUGCAAGUCAGAUGUGAAAUGCCGGGGCUCAACCCCGGAGCUGCAUUUGAAACUGUGGUUCUUGAGUGAGGUAGAGGUAAGCGGAAUUCCUAGUGUAGCGGUGCAAUGCAUAGAUAUUAGGAGGAACAUCGGUGGCGAAGGCGGCUUACUGGGCCUUUACUGACGCUGAGGCACGAAAGCGUGGGGAGCAAACAGGAUUAGAUACCCUGGUAGUCCACGCUGUAAACGAUGAUGACUAGGUGUGGGGGGACUGAACCCUUCCGUGCCGCAGUUAACACAAUAAGUCAUCCACCUGGGGAGUACGGCCGCAAGGUUGAAACUCAAAUGAAUUGACGGGG
This 396-nucleotide ribosomal RNA is filed under the name uncultured bacterium. RNAcentral describes it as "partial 16S ribosomal RNA". It matches the Rfam family "Bacterial small subunit ribosomal RNA", at positions 523 to 918 of the family's 1533-position model. The record is from RNAcentral.